RNAcentral lists this transfer RNA (84 nucleotides) under Actinomycetota bacterium. Its description in RNAcentral is "tRNA-Leu". It matches the Rfam family "tRNA". From Rfam's summary of the family: Transfer RNA (tRNA) molecules are approximately 80 nucleotides in length. Their secondary structure includes four short double-helical elements and three loops (D, anti-codon, and T loops). The record is from RNAcentral. Lineage: Bacteria; Bacillati; Actinomycetota.
GGGGGCGUGGCGGAAUUGGCAGACGCACCGGACUUAAAAUCCGGAUCCUGAGAAGGAGUGUGGGUUCGAGUCCCACCGCCCCUA